Non-coding RNA from Parasteatoda tepidariorum (common house spider), 791 nucleotides. Lineage: Eukaryota; Metazoa; Arthropoda; Arachnida; Araneae; Theridiidae. The record is from RefSeq and is a predicted model, not a curated record.
ACAGUAAACGAUAGAUGCCUGACAGCAAAGCGCAUCAAAACUAUGACUUUUUGUAAUGCAAUCUGACCUAGUUUAAAGCUGUAUUAAUCUAUUCUGAAUGACACUUAAAAAAUAGGGCUUGUUUUAAAAUCUAAUGUAUUUGUUUUAGAUACAUAAUUAGGGUCAAGUUAUAACUACAGAUUUUUAGCUUGAUGCCUGGAUUUAUAUUUCUGAAAACUACAUUAUGUGCCCGGGGAUUGCCAUUGUCUACAUCGGUGGAUGCUAUGCUAAGAUGGUCUUACAUCUCUAGAUGGAAAGUUAUGAUGGGUGAACCUUAAUAUAUACGAUGAUUGGACAUCAACAAGCUUGUAGAAAAACUAAACAUUCCUUUCUAUCGUCAUUGGAUUCCUUUUACGGCAAUUUAUAUAUGCACUUGUAUUGGACAACCUUAUAGUAGGAAAGAACUUAGUAUGGAUAUUGAUUAAUUAAAACUGGAACUGAUGGAAUUAUAAGUACGAAUAUCAAAUAUUAUGUUUUAAUGUUAGACUCUAUAAAAACUAUGUGUAAAACAUAUAAAGUUAAGAAUUGUUGUCAAUAACUAUAAAUUAAAACAAGAAAUUAAUGUAGUGAUUUUUUCAAAUUAAAAUCCCUUUGAGACAAAAUUUCCAAGCAUUGGAAUAUUAAGGAUUUAGUGAUUGUCUUCUAAAAGCUAAACUUGUUUAGUGAGAAAAACCUAAAUGUGAUAAAAAUUGGGUAAGUAAUUUCCCAGCAAAAAAGCUUUUUAAAUUUGUAUUUGCUAGCAAAAGUUAAUA